Molecule: ribosomal RNA, 166 nt
Filed under: uncultured bacterium
Lineage: Bacteria
Description: partial 16S rRNA
Rfam family: Bacterial small subunit ribosomal RNA
Source: RNAcentral
UAGGGAAUCUUCGGCAAUGGGGGCAAACCCUGACCGAGCAACGCCGCGUGAGUGAAGAAGGUUUUCGGAUCGUAAAGCUCUGUUGUAAGAGAAGAACGUGUAUGAGAGUGGAAAGUUCACACAGUGACGGUAACUUACCAGAAAGGGACGGCUAACUACGUGCCAA